This 316-nucleotide small nuclear RNA is filed under the name Nannospalax galili (Upper Galilee mountains blind mole rat). RNAcentral's name for it is "7SK RNA (ENSNGAG00000003908.1)". It matches the Rfam family "7SK RNA". Rfam says of the family: 7SK was discovered as an abundant small nuclear RNA in the mid-70s but a possible function has only recently been suggested. Lineage: Eukaryota; Metazoa; Chordata; Mammalia; Rodentia; Spalacidae. The record is from Rfam by way of RNAcentral.
GGAUAUAAGGGCGAUCUGGCUGCGACAUCUGUCACCCCAUUGAUCGCCAGGGUUGACUGGCUGAUCUGGCUGGCUAGGCGGGUGUGCCCUUCCUCCUUCAAUGCUCCAUGUGCAUCCCUCCCGAAGCUGUGUGCUUGGUUGAAGAGGACAACGUUCCCCGAAUAGAGGAGGGCCGAUCUUCGGUCAAGGAUAUACGAGUAGUUGUGCUCCCCUGCUAGAACCUCCAAACAAGCACUCAAGUUUGAGGACCAUUUUUAAAAUUUAUUAUUUUAUGUGUAUGAGUGUUUUGCCUGUAUGUAUGUAAUUGCACACAUGC